ACUAGUCCCUGCACCAUUUAACAUUAUAUUUGUUCUUCUCUCAGUUUCUUUGUCUUGUGUGCACUGAGAAAGAGUGACGAGAUGUUUCAGGCUUGGCUGAAUGCAACUCUAGUGCGAAACCCUGGACUCCGGUUGUCUCUAUUAGGGGAUUUGAAUGUCUCACUGUCUGGUGUUUCAGUCCUUCCACAUGUCUCCAGCUUAGCAGCGCUGCUGGAGCAGGCAAAGGGUCUGACUGAGGGACACCUGACAUUAACAGCAGACCAUGUUGUACAUGGUGUGGAGAUAAGACACGAGAUUUCUAGGUUUAAAGAGGAAGUGAACAGGUCUGAAAGUGUCUGGAUUCGUGUCCUGGCUCAGGAGCAGUCGCUCUGCAUGAACAUUAGCAGGACCUUUAUACAGCAUGGACAUAACGGUCUCCAUGCUCAACUCGCUCACUCAUUUCCUUGGCUGCUCUCAGCAGGACUCCCGUUUACCAGCAGUGCUGUGGUGGAUAUGAAGCGGAGUGAAAGUGGUCUGUCUGCUGAGCUUGCACUCCAUGCUGGAGCCCAAGAGCUGAAGCUCACACUGCAGAGAAGACUGCACAACUCUACAGAAAUUGCUGGGCGCUUACUGGUGAACUGCAUGGGGAGGAUCAGCCUGGACCACCUGCUGAGCUACUGCUACUCAGAGGCCCUGGAUCAGUCGCUGCGGAUGGAGAUGCAGGCUAAUUUGUCAGAUUCCAUCCACAUUAUGUCAGAAAACCAAGGAACCUUGUCAUUGCUACUCAAGAUCUUGGGACACCAUCUAACCUCCAGCACUGGCCUGAUGGUUAAUGUUCACCACAACAUCUCUUCUCUACAACCUUAUAUCCCAUUUGGGUUUGACACCAAGUCACAGCUGAAUCGAUCCGCUUCUUCAAUUAAGGCGGCAGCAGAGUUAGUGAUAGACAAUCAUGUGAUGCGUUUUAAAGGACAGGCUUCACAGACAAAGCUUGGAUUCAAGCAGGCGCUGGAGCUUUACCACUCUUUACCUCAGCUGAUGUCGGUUCCCAGUAGUCUUAUAGUACAGACAGGGUAUGCUGGGCACAACGGAUCACAUGUCCUCACACACCACACACAGUGGAGGGAUGAAAACACAACUGCACCUAAGGGGUUACAACAAUGGAAAUCGAGACAGAUAGAUGAGUUUGGGCCUGAGUCUCGGGGAUGGGAGCUGGAAGUGAGGCUUGAGAAUGAAACUCAGAGCAAACGUGGAAAUGUUCUCAUUGACUGGAAUCUGAUAGGAGUACAGGAGCAGAUACAAGCUACAGGUUCUUGGAACUCUGCAGGAAGACAAACUGAGGCCAUGCUCCAGCUCAAACAACCUUUUACGUCCACUCUCUCCCACUUGAAAGUGCAAGUGCUCUCACGUGACCACGCACAAGGACAUGGCAGGAACAAUCAGGUCCAUCUGUCCUGGGACUACGGGACGCCCGUGAAUGUCUCUGUGACAGUCAGUAACCGGAGCCAUGCUGAGGACUACAGCAUGACGCAGGCUUGUGUUUUUGUGUCACCUGGACAGAUGCGGUCAGUUCUCCCUCUUGUGGAGGCCCACGGCUGCGUCUUGAUGGCUCAAGAAGGAAAAUUUUCCUACUCCCAAAGUACAGAACUCAAGUGGGGUGACAAGAGAAUUACGCAAAGCAUGAAAUAUCAGAAAGCUGACAGAGGAAUGCACACUGUCCAGAUGGAAGCUUCAGCCCAGAACAUCUCGCCUGGCCCAUGUUCUUCUCAUACACUCCUGGCUCAGAUACAUUCUAACCUCAAAGACGUCCUGGAACACCAUAGCCUUCUGGGGCUUUGUCCUCCACAACCAGCUCUAUCUUGGUCUGGUUCUCAUAGAGUGAACUCAGGGAAGGACUUGCUCUACAGCCAUACCAGCGUAUCGCUAUCUGGUCAGACCCAGCACAGCACACUUGUUUUGGCGGUCAGGAACAGCAGCAGCGCCCAACGCAGUCACUUCUCCCUGCUCACUGAGUGGACAAUGGGAAACUGGAGCGUUGAGUUGGGAGGAAGCGUACACUCCGCAAGCAGGAGCUCGGCGCUGCAGGUUCAGGCGAAACUUGACCGUAGUGAGCUCAUCUGGCUGCAGACCACACUGGGAAAGCGCUGCUUACAAGCUGCUGCUGGAUAUGAUGGUGAUUCAUCUGAUGACCUACGGACGACCCUCUGCUUGGAGGGAAACCAUUGGCUAACUUUCAAGACCCAAAAAGGAGGCAGUGGCAUUGAGAACGAGACAUUAGCGCUAAUCUCCAUGGGAGUGGCCGAUCGUGGCCUGGUGUUUCGUGCCAAGGGAUGCGAGGUGUGCUUAGCAGCGACAGAGGCACGGCUGCAGCAGUUAGGCACUCACGUGAAGAGGAAGCUGCUUCAGAGAGUCCAAAGGCUGCACCAUCUUCUUCUGGAGUUCAGGAGACAGGCCGGAGGAAACGAGCCGAUGCAGGAGCUGAGCCACGCAAUCCUGUAUGUGACCCACCAAGCUGAAAACCUGCUGCUGCAGAGAGCACCAAUGCCGUGGGACCUCUGGACGUCUGGGUCCAUCCGUCACACGCUCAUGCACAGCCUGCCCCGAACACUCCAAAUUCUACAGCACAUGUCUCAACUUGUCCAGCAAGAGCUCAAAAAGCCACUGGCCACGCUGGCCGGAGCGUACCAUGACGUUACAGGAGAGCGUCUGGACAUGAUGUGGCAUGGCUUACUGGACCUGUGGAGCCGAGACCUGGGGCAGAUGCUGCCUGCAAUUCUACAUAAUCACCACCUGAGGACACCAUCUAUAACUGCUCUCCGCACUGCCAUCACCGCACUGGACCUGGUCAUGCAGCACACAGUCCAGUGGGCUGAAUCCAGAUUGGCCAUGAUGUUAGUAGGAUUUAGAAGACAGCUUGCUUUCAUGUACAAGUUCUCUGAAAGGGAUGGGGAAGUGACGGUGAGUCUUCCUCUUCUGCGUAAUCCAUGGACAAAGCGGUCAGUGGUCGGCAUAGCAGAAGUCAUGGUGGAGGAGUUCCUCAUAAAGCCUCUCCUCUCACUGAACUCAGCCAGUAUCACAGCUGAGCUCUAUAGGCUUAAGAGGAAACUGAUGGAUAGUCCUUUCAAUCGUGAGUCUCAGAAUUUCAUUUCAUGAUUACUAUAACACCUGAAAAAACAGAACAGCCAAUAUGUCUUGUUAUCAUCUCAAUUAUAAUUUACAAACCCCUUCCCUUGGUUAGGGAUCUUCCAGAAUGUUCAUGUAUAGAUGGGAGUGUAUGAAUUCCAUAAAAAUAAAUUCAAGGACAACUCUUACUGUGACAUAUACAAGUAUAAUACUGUGAAACUCUUUUCUUUGCAUAUCCUAGCUUGGGGUCGUAGUGCAGGGUCAGCCAUGGGGCAGAGAGGGCUUAAGGCCUAGCUCAAGGGCCCAACAGGGGCAGCUUGGAGAUGCUAGGACUUGAACUCACAACCUUCUGAUCAGUAUACCAGAGCCUUAACCACAGAACAACCACAGGACACUAACCACAGAAUAAUCUCUGGUAGUCACAUUACUACUCAAAGGCCAUCAUCAGAAACUAUACAGAUCUACACUUUUUCUUACACCUAGGAUUUCCAUUAGCCCUACAAUAAAUAUUGACUGGUCCAUCUACACAGUGACUGGAUUUCACAUCAUGCAAUGUGUCUAUCUGCCCGAGUAUCCUCUUCUUUCCUUCCACUGAUUUCCUUCCUUAUUGUUCAAGUUGCCCCUAGGAGCCGCAACAUUCACCAAGCAUGACCUCUUCACGUUCUUCCACCUGUUCUGCAUCUGAGAAGGAAAUUAAUAGAAGACUACAUUUAUCACUGGUCAAUAUGAUGUCUGGAUAAUGCUUUUUGAAUGAAACAAUGCCCCAGCAUACUCCAAGCCCUCAGCAAUGCCUCUCACCUCAGUGAAAUAUUACUUAAUCACUUUCUGUACCUGAUUUAUCCUGGUCAGGAUCAUGGUGGAUCCCAAGACUAUCCCAGGAACACUGGGUGUGUGGCAGGAAUACACCCUGGAUGGGACACUUGUCCAACCAGGGCACUAUAUACAUAACAUUCACACACUUACUUGAUCCUAUGUUCAAUUUAUGUUAGUAAUUCCACCUACUAGUUUGUUUUUAGGGAAGUGGGAUGAAACUAGGAAACCUAGAGCAAACCCACACGGACAUAGGGAGAACAUGUGAAUCUCCACACAGGCAGUAACCCGAACUCUGUAUUGAACCAGGAACCAAACCUGGGCGUCACUCACUGAGCAUAUCUGCCAUGCCUGAGAAGAGCAUUACCCCCAUUUAGAACUGUCUGUAAGUCAAACCAGACACACAUGAGGUUUGCUUCUUGUAGUUAAUCAUCUCUAAGUGUCCAGAUGCAUCCUUGGAAGACUCAAUAUUCCAAACUACCACCUAUCCAUCCAUCUUUCACAGAAAACUUAUUGUAAAUUUAGCAGUUAAGCAGCACCUUUCACUGCUCUGGUUAAUAAAUCCCACAAACAACAUACUCCUGAAGACAUUCCUUUCAAACCCAAGCAGCAUUUCAGUUUGGGCAUAAUGUAUAAGGUCUAUCAUAAUCCAAUGCUUCCUAACAAUGUAAACAAGGAUGCAUGUAUGGGGUUAGUAGAGGUGCUGCCUCAGGGUCAUCCCUGUGCUUUUUAUUCAUCAUCUUUCCACUACACAGAGAAGCUAUUAGUAGCAAUUAACUGCUGGCUAUUAAACAAGCCAUGGAAUAAUGAACAGCUGUUGGACCUAAACAAACCUAAACAACGUUGUCUUCAACAAGAAUGUACCAGAUGGCCUUUCCAAACAGUUUAAACCUUCAGAGCCAGAAAACUAACUUGGCAACACUGUCCCUAGUUCCUAAAUUAUGAUUUCAUCUUUGAUUGGGCAUAGAGGCCAUGGACCAGUAGGCAGCACAACAGAGAAACUGGUCCCACUGCCCAUAGUCCAAUAAUUUAAGAGACAACAGAAAUUAUCACCAUUCUUUUGCUGGAUGAAGAAUAUUCUGAAAAAGAUUAAAUCAAUCUGUCAAAUCAACAUUGUAUCGGUAUAGUGCUUUUCAUACAGGUUUGCACUUCAAAGAGAUUUCCUUUCCCUUGACUCUUGGGAAGGGAUUUAGAGAACAUUCAGCAAGUAUAUCAGUCAACAUCUCUUUUCAUCCUGAAUCCCAUAGCCAUACUGAGAGAAUCAAUUAAGGUAUGAAAACAAUCCUAUACUACAUAGCUUUGAUAAAUCAUUCCUCUUUUAGCAGUCACACCGUAUGAGCUGAGAAUUUACAACACGCUUUAUUCUCAUCCUUUCAAGUGUCAGCCUUGACUUUUUCAGGACCAGGAAGAUGAGAUCAAGCAUUUCUUGUGGCAGAUGGAUUCAUCGUGUCAUUUGAUGGACGAGUGUUAAAAAUACCACGUUCCUGUGACCUUGUAUUAGC
Molecule: RNA transcript, 5414 nt
Organism: Ictalurus punctatus (channel catfish)
Lineage: Eukaryota; Metazoa; Chordata; Actinopteri; Siluriformes; Ictaluridae
Exons: 22
Source: RefSeq, a predicted model, not a curated record